GGCUCUGUGGCGCAACGGAUCGCGCGUUGGACUUCUAAUUCAAAGGUUGUGGGUUCGAGUCCCACCGGAGUCA
Molecule: transfer RNA, 73 nt
Filed under: Oreochromis niloticus (Nile tilapia)
Lineage: Eukaryota; Metazoa; Chordata; Actinopteri; Cichliformes; Cichlidae
Description: tRNA-Arg (TCT) (tRNA-Arg-TCT-18-1)
Rfam family: tRNA
About the family: Transfer RNA (tRNA) molecules are approximately 80 nucleotides in length. Their secondary structure includes four short double-helical elements and three loops (D, anti-codon, and T loops).
Source: RNAcentral